AUAUUUUUUUUAAUAUUGUUUGUUUUGUUUUAUGUUUAAGAUAAUACUAGGUCCUCACCCGCACGUACCUAGGGUGAAUAAUAUAAAGUUUUUAGGGUUUAGUUAAAGUUAUAUUUUAUAAUUUUAGAUUUGUUUUGAGAAUUCUUACAUCAGUUGCCAUUUUUUCAAUUCCUUAUGCAAUCUACCAUAUUUUCAAUCCUCUUACAACUCCUACCACAUUUCUUAUUAAAAUUACUAAUUUACCCUCUAUAUUUAUCUUCCUUAUUUAUCUCUCCUCUCUAUUUCUCUUUCCUCUCUAUUUCUCUUUCCUCUCUAUUUAUUUUUUCUUUCUAUUAAUCUCUAUCCCCUUUAACCAAUAAACAUUAUAUUUCUUGAGACUAAACAAAUAACUUUUGUUUUUGUCUCCAAAUCUUAUCCCCGAUUUGAAAAUUUUCUGUUAUAUCUAGAUUUUGUCCCCGAUUUCACCAUCUUUCAAAAUUAUCAUGAAACUCACAUCUUAUCCACCAAUUGUUUUUCAUUUAAGGAUUCGAAUUUUAUGUAGAUUUUUCAACAUCUAUUUUGGUCCACAGAUUAGUUGAGCAUUAUUGUCUUCACUGACCCAGAUUAUUUGAUUUUUUUCAUUCGAUUGCAAAAUAACAAAAAUAUCAAGUUAUAACAUAUUAUCUUGUCUAUCAUUCGAUCUGAAUUUAUCCCCGAUCUAAUUCUAUCACUCAUUCGAUAUGAACUUGUUCCCGAUAUAACGUAUUAUUAAAAUAAAAUUAUAUGCAAUUGUAAACGUGUAGGUGAAGUCAAUAACGUUCAACUAAUCUGUGAAUCAAAAUAGAUAGCAAAAAAUCUAAAUAAAAUUUGAAAUCCUUAAAUGAGAAUAAUUGGUGGACAAGAUGUAGGAUUAAUAAUAAUAGAGCAAGAUGAUGAAAUGGAGGACAAGACGUAGACGCAACAGAGAAUUUCUAAACGGGGACAAGAUCUGGAGAGAAAAACAAAAGUCUGUCACCAAUUGUCCUUUAUCUGACACAUCAGUCUGUCACCAUCAAGGGCAAUUUCGUUCACAAAUGUGCAUGUGACAAUGAAAUAUGGUAGAUUUUGUAAGGUGAGGUAGAAUAGGGUAGGGUUUGUAAGAUUUGGAGUAGAAUAUGACAGAUUUUGCAAGAUUCUCUUUGUUUUGUGAAUUAAAUUAUACAAAAAUAUGGAGUUAUUAAUUAUAGAGAAAUUCUCAUAAAUAGCACUUUUUAAGUUUUUGGACAAAAAUAACAUUAAAAAGUUUUUUAGACAUAAAUAGCACUCAAAUAAUUAUUUGAAAAAUUCCUACAAGUAACAGUAAAACAAGUUUUAUGGACAAUAAUAAUACCACAAUUUUAUAUAAAUUCUAUUCAACCAAAAUAAAUUAGAAAUAAAUUUAAAAUAUUAUAUUUGGGUUCUCUAUUUCCAAUUUAAGGUAUAUAUUUCAACUAUGUAAAAGAAAUUUUGAUUCAUUUUAAUAUUAGUUUAUGGUAUUAUAUUUGGGUUUUCUAUUUCCAAUUUAGGGUAUAUAUUUUCACCAUUUAAAAGAGAUUUUUCAUUUUAAAAUUAGUUUGUAGUAUUAUAUUUGAGUUUUUUAUUUCCAAUUUAGGGUAUAUAUUUCCACUAGUUAAAAGUUUUUUGAUUCAAUUUAAUAUUAGAUUAGUGUUUGCUCUCAUUUUUAUGUGGAAGAUUGAUACAAAUGGUAAUAAAAAAACUUUAUUAU
This 1723-nucleotide small RNA is filed under the name Arabidopsis thaliana (thale cress). Its description in RNAcentral is "ATSL203430". The record is from RNAcentral. Lineage: Eukaryota; Viridiplantae; Streptophyta; Magnoliopsida; Brassicales; Brassicaceae.